RNAcentral lists this ribosomal RNA (471 nucleotides) under uncultured bacterium. RNAcentral describes it as "SSU rRNA". It matches the Rfam family "Bacterial small subunit ribosomal RNA", at positions 26 to 518 of the family's 1533-position model. The record is from RNAcentral.
AGGACGAACGCUGGCGGCGUGCUUAACACAUGCAAGUCGAGCGGAAAGGCCCUUCGGGGUACUCGAGCGGCGAACGGGUGAGUAACACGUGAGCAACCUGCCCUUAGCUCCGGGAUAGCUCCGGGAAACCGGAAUUAAUACCGGAUAUGACCUAGGCCGACAUCGGCUGUGGUGGAAAGUUUUUCGGCUGGGGAUGGACUCGCGGCCUAUCAGCUUGUUGGUGGGGUAAUGGCCUACCAAGGCGACGACGGGUAGCCGGCCUGAGAGGGCGACCGGCCACACUGGGACUGAGACACGGCCCAGACUCCUACGGGAGGCAGCAGUGGGGAAUCUUGCGCAAUGGGCGAAAGCCUGACGCAGCGACGCCGCGUGGGGGAUGAAGGCCUUCGGGUUGUAAACCCUUUCAGCAGGGACGAAGCGAAAGUGACGGUACCUGCAGAAGAGCGCCGCUAACUACGUGCCAGCAGCCGC